GACGAACGCUGGCGGCGUGCUUAACACAUGCGAGUCGAACGGAAAGGCCCUGCUUUUGUGGGGUGCUCGAGUGGCGAACGGGUGAGUAACACGUGAGUAACCUGCCCUUGACUUUAGGAUAACUUCAGGAAACUGGGGCUAAUACCGGAUAGGAGCUCCUGCUGCAUGGUGGGGGUUGGAAAGUUUCGGCGGUUGGGGAUGGACUCGCGGCUUAUCAGCUUGAUGGUGGGGUAGUGGCUUACCAAGGCUUUGACGGGUAGCCGGCCUGAGAGGGUGACCGGCCACAUUGGGACUGAGAUACGGCCCAGACUCCUACGGGAGGCAGCAGUGGGGAAUAUUGCACAAUGGGCGGAAGCCUGAUGCAGCAACGCCGCGUGCGGGAUGACGGCCUUCGGGUUGUAAACCGCUUUCGCCUGUGACGAAGCGUGAGUGACGGUAAUGGGUAAAGAAGCACCGGCUAACUACGUG
This 468-nucleotide ribosomal RNA is filed under the name uncultured bacterium. Its description in RNAcentral is "partial 16S ribosomal RNA". It matches the Rfam family "Bacterial small subunit ribosomal RNA", at positions 28 to 507 of the family's 1533-position model. The record is from RNAcentral.